Molecule: long non-coding RNA, 543 nt
Filed under: Trifolium pratense (red clover)
Lineage: Eukaryota; Viridiplantae; Streptophyta; Magnoliopsida; Fabales; Fabaceae
Description: long non-coding RNA (TPRA_LNC009649)
Source: RNAcentral
AUCAUUCCUUUGUAAUCAAACUCAGAGCAAUCAGAACUUCCCAAAGAAAUCGAAGUUAGAGCCAUCAUUAUCCAUUAAUCGUUCCUCUUCUCACAUCGUUCUCAAAUCGAAGUUAGAGCCAUCGUUCUCACAUCGUCACUUCUGUUUCAGGUGCUCUUUUCUGCAACUUGAUCUAAGAUGUUGUUUUUGUUCUUUGAUUUUGUUUUUCAAUUUUCUUUCUUCCCUCAUAAUCUUGUGAUCGUGUAUUUUUUCAAUAUUUAUAAUUAUAGUGUUCAUAUGUGUAAUUACAGUGUUCUGCAACUUAGUAAUUACAAUCUUUUAACAUAUAAGCAGUCAUAUAUCUGAUUGGUUAAUAUUUAUCUUUUCAUACAUUAUUAAGUUCCAACAGUACUAAAAACUACUGAUUGGAAAUAUACAUUAUUAGAAAUAUCAGUUUUUGAGCUCUUUGAUAUAAAGCACCCAAUACCCUCUUGUAUUUGCACUCCAAUUGUAAAGUUCAACAUAGAAUAAUGACCUUCAUAUUUUUAAUUUUUAAGCUGGAAA